Molecule: ribosomal RNA, 2095 nt
Filed under: Munna japonica
Lineage: Eukaryota; Metazoa; Arthropoda; Malacostraca; Isopoda; Munnidae
Description: SSU rRNA
Rfam family: Eukaryotic small subunit ribosomal RNA
Source: RNAcentral
UCGUCUCAAAGAUUAAGCCAUGCAUGUGUCAGUACAAGCCUAUUUAAGGUAAAACCGCAGAUAGCUCAUUAAAUCAGUCCUUAUUUACUAGACCACUCCACAUUAUUUGGGGAAACUCGGAUAACUGUGGAAAAUCUAGAGCUAAUACGUGCAAAUUGGUUUCGGACCGAGGCUCAGGCCGAGGGAAGGACGCAUUUAUUAGAAAUAAAACUGUUUUCGUUAAAACGAUGUUUUAUUUGACUCUGGAUAAUUGUGCGGAGCGCAAAAAGCUCUUUGUAGCGGCGCCAUGUCUUUUCGAGGGCCUGCCUUAUCAGCUACGAAUGUAGCGUAUUGGCCUACAUUGGCUAUAACGGGUAACGGGGAAUCAGGGUUCGAUUCCGGAGAGGGAGCCUGAGAAACGGCUACUACAUCUAAGGAAGGCAGCAGGCACGCAAAUUACCCAAUUCCAGUUCGGAGAGGUAGUGACGAAAAAUAACGAUGGGAGACUCUUCCGAGGCCUCUCAAUCGGAAUGAAUUUUAUUUAAAACUGUGGACCAGGACCCAUUGGAGGGCAAGUCUGGUGCCAGCAGCCGCGGUAAUUCCAGCUCCAAUAGCGUAUAUUAAUGUUGCUGCAGUUAAAACGCUCGUAGUUGAAUUUCCGCAGUAUCUGAAGUUGAGCGGGCCAGGCUAUUACUUAUUGUUUUAGCUUGCGUUUUCGGCUCUUCUUCUUUUGAGAGUUUGUUACCUCUCUGUGGCUUAUUUAGUUACAGUUUGGGCAGACAGAAAGUCGAUUCGCUAAAGAGUGCUCUUCAUCGAGUGUUCGGUCUGCGAUCGACGUGUUUACUUUGAAAAAAUUGGAGUGAUCAAGGCAGGCAGAGUUCCUCGCAUUAUUGCGUAGACUGCCUGGACAAUGAUGCAUGGAAUAGAGUAAGAAGCUCUUGGUUCUGUCAUUUUUGUCGGAAACGGUUUUUGAACCGAGAGAAUGAUUAAAAGGGACAGACGGUGGCAUUGGUAUUGCGGGGUUAGAGGUGAAAUUCGAGGACCCUCGCAAGACUAACAACUGCGGAAGCAUUUGCCAAGAAUGUUUUCAUUAAUCAAGAACGAAAGUUGAAGGAUCGAAGGCGAUCAGAUACCGCCCUAGUUUUAACCAUAAACGAUGUCAACUGUCUAUCUUUCUGUGUCAAUCCCACGACCGGAAAGGAAUUCCCCGGGAAACCAAAGUUUUUGGAUUCUGGGGGAAGUAUUGUUGCAAAGCUGAAACUUAAAGGAAUUGACGGAAGGGCACCACCAGGAGUGGAGCCUGCGGCUUAAUUUGACUCAACACGGGAAAUCUUACCAGGCCAGGACAUUAUGUGGAUUGACAGAUUAAGAGCUCUUUCUCGAUUUAAUGGAUGGUGGUGCAUGGCCGUUCUUAGUUGGUGGAGUGAUCUGUCUGGUUGAUUCCGAUAACGAACGAGACUCUCCCCUACUAAAUAGUCGGUUCGAUCGUAACCCUUGAGACUGAGGUUACAACGAGGUCUUGUGGCUGUUUGUACAUGUAUAUUUUCUUUUUCUUCUCGCGUCGUCGUCUUCGGAUGAUGUCGGUGUCGUAGAGAGAGGUAUGCGUGUGCGCCGAUGGCUGCUUUUCUUUGUUAUAAAUCUCCAAAACUUGGGGCGUCGACCGUAAACAUAUAUAUAAACUUCUUAGAGGGAUCAACGGCGCUAAUAUAGCCGUACGAGAUUGUGAGCAAUAACAGGUCUGUGAUGCCCUUAGAUGUCCUGGGCCGCACGCGCGCUACAAUGUAAGGUGCAGCGUGCAUUCUAUCCUACUCUGAAAAGAGCGGGCAAUCCCAUGAAAUCCUUACUCGUUAGGGAUUGGGGAUUGAAAAUGUUUCCCAUGAACGAGGAAUUCCCAGUAAACGCGGAUCAAGAGUUCGCAUUGAUUACGUCCCUGCCCUUUGUACACACCGCCCGUCGCUACUACCGAUUGAAUAUUCUAGUGAGGUCAUUGGACUGGCGCCUUCAAAACUGUUUUAUUAUCGGCACUUUGUGUUCGGUUUCUGACUCUUUUGUUCGGUCGACGGAAAGAUGUCCAAACUACAAUAUUUAGAGGAAGUAAAAGUCGUAACAAGGUUUC